This 497-nucleotide ribosomal RNA is filed under the name uncultured bacterium. RNAcentral's name for it is "partial 16S ribosomal RNA". It matches the Rfam family "Bacterial small subunit ribosomal RNA", at positions 28 to 507 of the family's 1533-position model. The record is from RNAcentral.
GAUGAACGCUGGCGGCGUGCCUAAUACAUGCCUGUCGAGCGAACGGACGAGAAGCUUGCUUCUCUGAUGUUAGCGGCGGACGGGUGAGUAACACGUGGAUAACCUACCUAUAAGACUGGGAUAACUUCGGGAAACCGGAGCUAAUACCGGAUAAUAUUUUGAACCGCAUGGUUCAAAAGUGAAAGACGGUCUUGCUGUCACUUAUAGAUGGAUCCGCGCUGCAUUAGCUAGUUGGUAAGGUAACGGCUUACCAAGGCAACGAUGCAUAGCCGACCUGAGAGGGUGAUCGGCCACACUGGAACUGAGACACGGUCCAGACUCCUACGGGAGGCAGCAGUAGGGAAUCUUCCGCAAUGGGCGAAAGCCUGACGGAGCAACGCCGCGUGAGUGAUGAAGGUCUUCGGAUCGUAAAACUCUGUUAUUAGGGAAGAACAUAUGUGUAAGUAACUGUGCACAUCUUGACGGUACCUAAUCAGAAAGCCACGGCUAACUACGUG